Molecule: ribosomal RNA, 508 nt
Filed under: uncultured bacterium
Lineage: Bacteria
Description: partial 16S ribosomal RNA
Rfam family: Bacterial small subunit ribosomal RNA
Source: RNAcentral
GAUGAACGCUAGCUACAGGCUUAACACAUGCAAGUCGAGGGGAAACGACAUCGAAAGCUUGCUUUUGAUGGGCGUCGACCGGCGCACGGGUGAGUAACGCGUAUCCAACCUGCCCACCACUUGGGGAUAACCUUGCGAAAGUAAGACUAAUACCCAAUGAUAUCUCUAGAAGACAUCUGAAAGAGAUUAAAGAUUUAUCGGUGAUGGAUGGGGAUGCGUCUGAUUAGCUUGUUGGCGGGGUAACGGCCCACCAAGGCUACGAUCAGUAGGGGUUCUGAGAGGAAGGUCCCCCACAUUGGAACUGAGACACGGUCCAAACUCCUACGGGAGGCAGCAGUGAGGAAUAUUGGUCAAUGGACGGGAGUCUGAACCAGCCAAGUAGCGUGCAGGAUGACGGCCCUAUGGGUUGUAAACUGCUUUUAUAAGGGAAUAAAGUGAGUCUCGUGAGACUUUUUGCAUGUACCUUAUGAAUAAGGACCGGCUAAUUCCGUGCCAGCAGCCGCCGCAG